AACAAUAUAUAUAGUAGACAGUUGAGAAAUAACGGCCAUUUAAAACCGAAACUUUGUAGAGUAAAUUAAAUCAUUGAUUCACAUCAUAAGUACUAGUUAGGUGUGUUUAUUGAUUGAUUUGGUAAAGUUGUUGUUUUAAAGUAGUGAAAACUUAAGAUCACACAGAGAAGAAGGUAAGAAACAGAGUUUUUUCUUUAUAGAAAAAGAAAGUGUUUGGUUGACUCCACUCCAAAAAGCGUGGAUUCAACCCAAUUCUCCCGCUAAUCUCGCCUCUUCAUACCAAUUUCCCUGCUUUAUUUCCCCAAAACCUCAUUCUCUUUCACUCUUCCUUCUCAACUAAAACCAUCACACCAUGAUUCUACCCCAUUUCUUCUUCUCCUUCUUGUGCAUCAUCAUCAUCACUACCACCUCCACCCAAACUCCAUCUCCACCUUACCCCUACGGUCUGUCAUCCUACCACAUUAACUGCGGCACUUCAACAAACACAACAGACUCCUUCAACACAACCUGGCUCUCCGACCGUUUCUACACCGCCGGCUCCACCUCCCUCGUCUCUGAACCUCUCCGCUUCAACCUCCCCUCUGAAAAGACCCUCCGCUUCUUCCCUCCCUCUUCCUACGGCAAAAAAAACUGCUACUCUUUCCCCUCUCUCCCCUCCUCUCGCUACCUCCUCCGCACCUUCACCGUCUACGACAACUACGACGCCAAGUCCCGUCCCCCUUCCUUCGACGUUUCCAUCUCCGCCACCAUCAUUUUCAACUGGCGCUCUCCCUGGCCUGAAUCCACUUCCCGUAACGGCGCUUACUCCGAUCUCUUCGCAUUCCUCCACACUCCCUCCGCCUCCGAUCUCUGCUUCUACGGCUACGCCACCGACGCUCCUAUUGUCUCGUCUAUCGAACUCUUUCCUGUCGAUUCCGCUUCCUAUGACUCCAACUCCACCGGAGAAAACUUCGUUCUCGUUAACUACGGUAGAAUUUCAUGCGGCUCCGAUGAUCACUGGGGUUCUGGUUUCACCAACGACACCGACAACUUCGGUCGGUCAUGGCAACCGGACGAAACAUUCAGAACUGGACCGGAUGAAGCCGAAGCCGUCAGAGUUUUGUCAACGGAGAAUACCGUUAGCGGCGCUAACAGAGAGCCGAAUUAUUUUCCGAUGAAGCUGUAUCAAACGGCUGUGACUACGGAGCAUUCGUUGGAGUACGAAUUGGGUGUGGACGCAAAGAUGGACUAUAUGGUGUGGCUGCAUUUCGCUGAGAUUGAUUCGAGCGUGAAAAAAGCUGGAGAGAGAGUGUUUGAUGUGCUCGUCAAUGGAAACAAUGCAACAAGAGUUGAUAUAUAUAAAGAAGUGGGAAGUUUCGCUGCUUUCACUUGGCAUUACACUGUCAAAAACUUGAGCACUAAUGUUUUGGGGAUAAAGCUUGUAGCUGUUUCUGGUGCCCCUCUUAUUUGUGGCUUUGAAAAUUAUGCAUUGGUACCUAAAGACCCUUCCACUCACCCUCUCCAAGUAAGUGCUAUGAAGGCAUUGAAGGAAUCGCUUCGUGUUCCGGGUAGAAUGGGUUGGAAUGGUGAUCCUUGUGCUCCUACAACUUGGGAUGCUUGGGAGGGUGUUACCUGCCGUAUGAGUGAUGAUAAAACUACUCUCCUCAUUACUGAAAUAAAUCUUGGCAGUCAAGGCUUAAAAGGGAACAUAAGUGGCCAGAUCAGUCUUUUGUCAGAUUUAGUAAGCCUGAACUUGAGUUCUAAUUCCUUAGGGGGCGGAAUACCAUCAGCACUAGGCCAAAAAUCCCUGAUACAAGUGGAUUUAUCCAACAAUCAGUUAAUGGGCUCUAUACCUGACAGUUUGACAUCUUCAAACUUGCAGCUUGUGCUAUUGAAUGGUAACCUAUUGGAAGGACGAGUGCCAGAGCAACUUUAUUCUGUUGGUGUGCACGGUGGAGCUAUUGAUUCUUUUUUCUGCAUUUUCAGAUUUCCAGCAUUGUAAAAGCUUCAGAGCUCAUCAAUUCUAAUCAAUAAAAUUGUGUUUUCUAUCAUUGGUCCGACCUGCCGGGUAGAGAUAGAAGCUAGCGAAACCGGAUGCCACCGAAAAUGUCUGACAAAGUUGAGGCUUUGGAGAUAAGAAUGGCUGAGAUGGAAGAUUCACUGCUUCAAACCUUGAAUGAAUUUCGUCAUGCUAAUUUGACAGAAUUUGCAAAACUGUUGAAUCUGGGGUGUAGCAGAUAACCGAGGAGCCAAUUACGGAAAUACUAGAUGGCAGUGAAGAAGGUGGAGCUGCCAUCAUUUGAUGGUGAUGAUCCAGUGGGGUGGAUCACGCGAGCAAGACAUAUUUUGAGGUACAGGGAAUAUCUGAAGAAGUGAAGGUUCGUUUGGCGAAAAUUAGCAUGGAGGGAGCAACCAUUCAUUGGUUUAAUCUUCUAUGUGAAACAGAGGAUGACCUCACAUGGUUAAAGUUGAAGGAAGCGUUGAUUGAGAGAUAUGGAGGAAGAAAGAGCGGUAAUCCAUUCGAAGAAUUGAAAGAUCUUCAACAAACUAGAGAUGUGGAAGAGUACAUUUUAGAUUUCGAAUAUUUCUCUUCCCCUCCCUGAAGAACAAUACCUUGGGUAUUUUUUAGGUGGCCUCCAACCAGAGGUACGUUUGCGAGUAAGGACCUUCAACCCUAAGACACGUGUGGAGGUGAUGAAAUUAGCUCGUGAUGUUGAAACAGAGUUACGGGGCGUGUUGAAUUGUAGUGAAAGCGAAGGUGGAGGUCGUUCGCGAAACUGGAAAGGGGGAAGAGAAGGAAGUAAUGGAUCUGGACGGGUUUUUUUCCAAGCUGCAUAGUUCUUUUUUUUAUUAAAAAAUAUUUAGGGUGAGGGGUUGGUGUCUCAGUCCAAGAUAGGGUUCAAUGAUAAACCCACCAGCUUUGCAUGGAUGCUCGGGCUAAAAUUGUCUAAUAAAACUAAGUACUAACCAUAGUUGUUAUCUAACAUGCUACAAUUGUACUACAUGCAAAAGAAACUUUAUGCAGUCACAUUUAUCAAAAGGACGGUAUUAUAAUAAUUAUAUAUAAUCCAAUGAGAAAUAAUCUCUAUUCUAUGCUUACUUUGAUUUGUUUUC
Molecule: non-coding RNA, 3093 nt
Organism: Cicer arietinum (chickpea)
Lineage: Eukaryota; Viridiplantae; Streptophyta; Magnoliopsida; Fabales; Fabaceae
Source: RefSeq, a predicted model, not a curated record